Molecule: long non-coding RNA, 215 nt
Organism: Notolabrus celidotus (New Zealand spotty)
Lineage: Eukaryota; Metazoa; Chordata; Actinopteri; Labriformes; Labridae
Exons: 3
Source: RefSeq, a predicted model, not a curated record
CUUUAAACUGAAACGCUGGUCAACGAGUGUUUCCCCGUCUCAGCAGACCAGUGAAGAAAUGUGCUAAAGUCACCUCUACAACCAUGAAUGGGGGAAUGUGAGUUAGUGUGCAGAUCAGGCCGAACCAUGAAUCUUCAUUCAGAGAGAUACGGACAAAGACGGAGGACGGGACUGAGGCUACACAAUGACUGCAGUGAGUCAGUGCUUGUAAUGUG